UUGCUCUGAGCUCUGUGUGAUCAAGUUUAUGUGUUUCUAUUGUACAGUGUCCCGGACAAAAGGACCAAGUUUUGGCGGGUGGGCAUCGGGAGUCCAGUUGGUUGGCUUCAGCCUUUGAGGUGCUGUCGGCUAGCGGCGCCGCUUCUGAGUGUCUCCUCAACUCACUCCCGUGGCACCUUCGGCCGAUUAUUUGCAUCAGGUUCGUGUGAAGUGCCACCUGUGAAGUUGAUCGACAAGGCAGUUGAAUGAAGCCACUUAUUAGCACCUUGCUUGCUCUUCUUUCUUUUUGGAGCCAAAAGAUCCAUCAGCGCUCCACUGCUGGGCAAGGCUAUCUCGGUCAUCUUCCGUCUGAUACAUAGGUCAAACCAGGACUCACACACUCUCUCGCCGAUAUUUCACUUCGCUCCCGUGAAUACAUUGUCUUCUACGCACGGCGGUGCUGCCUUGGAUCGGCCCUCCAUCGCGCCGCUUCGGUCGUCACCAUGCAUCUCAGCUCCAAUAACCAGGUCACGAUGGCUGAUGAUGAGCUCCAGGCUCCGCUGGCUCCACCAACAGCUGUCUGCGAGCAUUUGCACAGUUCUUGACAGCCUCCUAGCACACCUUGGGCGCGCUACUAGAUGGGGCCUCUCCUAAUUCACAACUGCUCCUAUGCCUAUCAAGGUUCAUGUGAGGCAGAUGAAUUACGCCACAUGUUAGUAUGCUUAGUGAUUAUGGCUUUGUAGUUGGCUGUCCUUAUGUGUUCUCGCUUUUUGUAUUGAACUUUGUGUUGAAUGGCCGUAUUUUGCGGUUGGCUGAAUGCACCGAGCUUGAUCCUGUCUUAUAUUCUGAUGUUGAUCUUGAGAUCC
Non-coding RNA from Triticum urartu, 845 nucleotides. Lineage: Eukaryota; Viridiplantae; Streptophyta; Magnoliopsida; Poales; Poaceae. The record is from RefSeq and is a predicted model, not a curated record.